Long non-coding RNA from Pieris brassicae (large cabbage white), 619 nucleotides. RefSeq lists it as uncharacterized. The record is from RefSeq and is a predicted model, not a curated record. NCBI's taxonomy places the organism in Eukaryota, Metazoa, Arthropoda, Insecta, Lepidoptera, Pieridae. The transcript has 4 exons.
GCCUGCAUAAUCACAUGUUAGGAUUCACGAAACAGAGUUGGACCUUAUAACAAACUUAUUAAUGAGGUGGGAAACAAAUAGUUCUUCCAAGAAGUGCCAAUAGCUGUAUCGCAAACGUCCAAUAAUUAACUGCUACUAUUGCAGUAAAGCAAUUAAAAGCUACGGGUCUCAAUCCACAUUGUAGAACUACGCGUAGCACGGGCAGUAUCAUAGAUACCCUUUGCAAAUUUUAAUAAAUAAAAAGUAUAUAAAUGACACUUUAUUAUCUAUACGUAUAUAUUACGAUGACCUUGUCUAUUUGUAAUUAAGGUAUAAUCGUACGAAAGUAGUAACUCAUAUAUGGCAUCGCAACGUAAUGGAUUCUAAAUUGCUUUGAUCGUUUUUCCGGAAGGCUAAUGAAUUCUCCCGUCUGAAUGAACCUCACGGCUCAGCGAUGAAGCAGCCCGACUGUGACAUUUCACGAUCGAAAUUGUUAAUAAAGACUGAAAAUUCAUAAAAGCUAGAACAGGUUGAAGCUAAUGGAAACGGAAAAUUAAAUUUUAUUUUUUAUUUUACAGUACUAAUGAUAUUUUUUUUGUUUCAACAACUAUAACAAUAAAUCUACUAUGUUUUAUUAUUA